RNAcentral lists this long non-coding RNA (207 nucleotides) under Elaeis guineensis (African oil palm). Its description in RNAcentral is "long non-coding RNA (EGUI_LNC073826)". Lineage: Eukaryota; Viridiplantae; Streptophyta; Magnoliopsida; Arecales; Arecaceae. The record is from RNAcentral.
CCCAAUCCCCACAUUAGCUGUGGUGGCAGAUCAAAGUAAUUUGAAUGGUGAACCACUCGAUCGAGCAGGAGAUCAACUCCAUCAACAACAACCCCUUGAUUGAUGUCGCCUAUGACAUCGCCCUCCACGGCGGCAACUUCUAGGUGACCUGAAAGAGAGAUGGAGCUAUGGAAGUUUCAAGAGAGAGAGAGAGUGAGAGAGGAAGGA